Long non-coding RNA from Heterocephalus glaber (naked mole-rat), 873 nucleotides. The record is from Ensembl. NCBI's taxonomy places the organism in Eukaryota, Metazoa, Chordata, Mammalia, Rodentia, Bathyergidae.
UGGUACCGAAAAAAAGGGCUGGACAUCCAUGACAUCAUGGAAGUGACACAUCCGGGAUCAGGCAAAAGCAAGGUCAGAAGAUUCAAGUAAACUGCACGAGUGGGUAAUCCAGACCCACGGGUGAUCCAUCACCAUGGCACUGAUGUCUUUCCUCAUUGCACACCUAGUACUCUGUGAUAGUUAACUGUGUCAAUUUGAGUCAGAAACACCCAACUAAAUUAGAUCAGCAUACAUUAGUUCUGGGUGUGACAGAAGGGAUUUACUGAAGACAGAAGACCCACCCUGGAUGUGAGUGGCACCAACCAAUAGGCAUGUCGCCUGAGUGGAAGAAAAGGGGAACAAAGAAGGAAGGCUCACUUCUGUUUCUUCAGAGAAGCUCCAGUCUUCACCUUCACCUUGGACGUCCUUUCCUGGCUUCCGGCACAGACCUUUCAGCCUUCUAUUGUAGACCUUCCUCUUUUCUCCUUUACUACUGGAAUUCAGACAGAGACCACAGCCUCUCUUGCAGCUGGCAUGGAUGUGAGACACAUGACUAAGCUCUGGCCAACUGGGUGUGAGCGGAAGUGAUAUGGGCCACUUCCUGGUCUAGCUCUUAAGUAUCGGGCAAGUCCCCUGCUCAUCUCUGCCCUCCUUUCUCCUGGCUGUGAUGAAGAUUCCACAUCCGGAGCUGAGCUAGAGAUGGAAGCCACAGGUGGACCACACACCUGUAAUCCCUGCACUUCAGAGUCUAAGGCAAGAGGGUGGCAAAUUUAAGGCCAGCCUGGACAAUACAGCAAGACCUUAUCAGAAAGAAAGAAAGAAAGAAAGAAAGAAAGAAAGAAAGAAAGAAAGAAAGAGAGAGGAGGUGAAGCCUGGUGGGAAGAAGUGGGUCAC